CUUUUUUUUUUUCCCUUUUUCUUUUCUGGGGAUCCUCGUUUCGUUUUUCUGUUUCCCAUCCAUAGGACUUUGGGCUAUACAUCAUCUCUACUUUACUAAGUUAUAGUAUUCGGAAAUUCUAAAUCCUAAGCCAACCAAAUAUGAAUACCAUUUACAAAUAUACUGCUCCCCACGCACCAAACGGACAACCAGUCAAAACACUCACCAUGAUAAAUCAAAACAAAUAUUAGAAACCCCCCCGCAACUUCUGGAAUAAAUCUCCCCCUUUCCCAUUUGCACUGUUAGAUGGUUUCUUCAUCGUCAUCCAGGAAUUCAUCCUUGAUAAACAAACCAAGUCGUUGUAAUGGGUUUUCCAACUGGCCAUCGUCUGAUGACCUUUUCACCAUUGCACGGCGAUGUUGGACAAAUAAGAAUCCUCCACUGAGCUUUUCCAGCUCCUUUAGAAUCUCAAGAUUUUGGUCGAGAUCAACAGUUCUUUCAAUCUUCUGAAGAGCAAUGCGGGCAGCUUCUCUGUCUCUUUCUCGCUGCUGUUUCUUCUCAGCCUCUACUUUUAAUCGCAAGGCCAUGUCAGCAGCCUUUAUUUGUGCUUCUAUACGUUCUCUCUCUUCACGCUGCCUCCUUUCUAAUCUCUCCUUCUCUUGUUGAAUCUUCAGUUGAUCAACUUUAUCGCCCAGAUCAAGAAGUGUCUUCUGUUGUGCUUUCAAAAUAGUUUCAGCAAAGCGACUCUUCAGCAUUGCAGCACGAAGAGCCUUUUUCGGUGAAAGUUGUACAUCAAAAAUUGGGGUAGAGCACACUUCGGAAGUAGAAUUUGCCCCAAGGGUUAAAGACUGAUCAUAAGGUGGUUUUCCUUCAUCCUCCAAAGCACUUCUAAUCCCAUCAGAAUCCAUAUCUGACUUGGACGCAUGGGAAGCUGACAAGCUACUUGUUUGAGAAUCCCGUCUGCAAAGAUCAUUGACAUCUGGAUUUUCUCCACCAGAGGAUGCAUGGCCUAAAUUGGAAGAAGAGCUGCAGAGACAUGGCAUGCUACCACAUCCCGUACACUUAUGUCUUGG
RNAcentral lists this unclassified non-coding RNA (1052 nucleotides) under Hevea brasiliensis (rubber tree). Lineage: Eukaryota; Viridiplantae; Streptophyta; Magnoliopsida; Malpighiales; Euphorbiaceae. The record is from RNAcentral.